This 499-nucleotide ribosomal RNA is filed under the name uncultured bacterium. RNAcentral's name for it is "bacterial SSU rRNA". It matches the Rfam family "Bacterial small subunit ribosomal RNA", at positions 903 to 1397 of the family's 1533-position model. The record is from RNAcentral.
AAAGGAAUUGACGGGGGCCCGCACAAGCGGUGGAGCAUGUGCUUUAAUUCGAUGCAACGCGAAGAACCUUACCUGGACUUGACAUGGGAGUGAAAGUCUUUAGAGAUAGAGGCCUUUCCGCAAGGAACACUCCACACAGGUGCUGCAUGGUUGUCGUCAGCUCGUGUCGUGAGAUGUUGGGUUAAGUCCCGCAACGAGCGCAACCCUCGCCCUUAGUUGCCAUCAGGUCAUGCUGGGAACUCUAAGGGGACUGCCCAGUUUAACUGGGAGGAAGGUGGGGAUGACGUCAAAUCCUCAUGGCCCUUACGUCCAGGGCUAGACACGUGCUACAAUGGUCGGUACAACGGGAUGCCAGACAGCGAUGUUGAGCUAAUCCCUUAAAACCGAUCUCAGUUCGGAUUGAAGUCUGCAAUUCGACUUCAUGAAGCUGGAAUCGCUAGUAAUCGCGGAUCAGCAUGCCGCGGUGAAUACGUUCCCGGGCCUUGUACACACCGCCCGU